AUAGCGUAUAUUCAAGUUGUUGCAGUUAAAAAGUCCGUAGUUGAAUUUUGGAUCUGGUUAAGUGGUUUAGCUGCAAGGUUAACACUGCUUUGGCUGGAUCUUUCCUUCUAGGGAACUAAUGUGCUAUUUAUUUAGUGCGUUAGGGAUCUAGGAUUGUUACUUUGAAAAAAUUAGAGUGUUUAAAACAGGCUUAUGCUUGAAUACAUUAGCAUGGAAUAACGGAAUAGGACUUUGUUCUUAUUUUGUUGGUUUUGAGGAACGAAGUAAUGAUUAAUAGGGAUAGUUGGGGGCAUUAGUAUUCCAUUGUCAGAGGUGAAAUUCUUGGAUUUAUGAAAGACGAACAACUG
This 347-nucleotide ribosomal RNA is filed under the name uncultured eukaryote. RNAcentral describes it as "bacterial SSU rRNA". It matches the Rfam family "Eukaryotic small subunit ribosomal RNA", at positions 594 to 945 of the family's 1831-position model. The record is from RNAcentral.